Molecule: long non-coding RNA, 103 nt
Organism: Lynx canadensis (Canada lynx)
Lineage: Eukaryota; Metazoa; Chordata; Mammalia; Carnivora; Felidae
Exons: 3
Source: RefSeq, a predicted model, not a curated record
CAAAGGAUACAAGGGAGUUCUGAUUCGAAGGGGCACAUGAACCACAAUGUUCAUAGUAGUGAUAUCGACAAUAGCCAAAUUAUAGAAAGAGCCCAAAUGUCCA